Molecule: ribosomal RNA, 431 nt
Filed under: uncultured eukaryote
Lineage: Eukaryota
Description: bacterial SSU rRNA
Rfam family: Eukaryotic small subunit ribosomal RNA
Source: RNAcentral
CCUGACGGUAGUCGUAUGUUCGUCUCCGAGACUAAGCCAUGCAAGUCCAAGUACACGUCCUUGAACGACGGAAACUGCGAACGGCUCAUUAAAUCAGUUGCGAUCUACUCGGCGUUCCGCGCCGCCGGAUAACCGUAGUAAUUCUAGGGCUAAUACGUGCGAAGCGCCCGAAGCCGCGAGGCGACGGGCGUUCUCGCCGGAUGUAGGAACCGACCCGGGGACCGCCGGGGCAACCCGGCGCCCCCGAGACGGGGCGGAACCACGGUGAAAUGACGGAUCGUCGGCCCCGCGCCGGCGACUCGCCGAAUGAGUUUCUGACCUAUCAACUCGAGACGGCGGGGUAGGAGGCCCGCCGCGGUAACGACGGUAACGGGGAAGUCAGGGUUCGGAUUCCGGAGAGGGAGCCCGAGAAACGGCUACCACUUCCAAGG